This is a long non-coding RNA of Solanum pennellii, 601 nucleotides long. RefSeq lists it as uncharacterized. The transcript is spliced from 2 exons. Lineage: Eukaryota; Viridiplantae; Streptophyta; Magnoliopsida; Solanales; Solanaceae. The record is from RefSeq and is a predicted model, not a curated record.
UGGGUUGUAUAUUUAUGAGAGAAUGAAUAUUUCAUAAAUUACUUUGGACUUGGGUAUGAACUUGCAAUUAUUUUGAGUUUUAUGGCGUAUUUAUGUAGUUUUCCAAAAACAAAAGUUCACAUUACCCACUUUUCUCUUUCUAAAUUUUUCACCUAAUUCUAUCAUUAUCUUUCUCUCUCACGAUUUAUUCCAUUAUUUCAUAUUUUCAAGUAACUUAAACCCUGCCUUUUUAAAAUCAAAUUCCUCAAUUUUUCCAGGGAUCUCAUAAAUCAUGUAAAAGUUUUUCUACCUUUGUUGAAGUGAACUCAAUUGAUUUGUGAUUGUUUCCAUUAGGGAAGAAAAUUUUGAAAUAAUCAAUUGGGAUAUCGAAGUGAAUUCAACUGAUUUCGUUGAACUAUGAGAUUGUCGGUGAAAUACAAAAACAAUCAGAAGGACCCAAAGGAGAUGAAAGUGCAGAAUCACCAGCCAUAUUUUAAAGUAAAAAAAUAUACAAAUUUUUAAUUUGUAAUAUGUUUGGGAUACAAAUAGCUAGUGAAUGAUUGAAAUUUUUUGAUUUUUUUUUACGUCGUAUACUUGGAAUAGAAAAUAAUUUUAAAAUCUA